GCCGAGCUGGGUAACUCUUGCUUGUGACCCAAGUGGGGGCAUCAAGGUGAUAGAACAUGGCUAUGGUUUGUCUAGGUUGGGGUGGUAGCUGCACCAUGUUGGCCUGCCCGCUCCAAGUUGAGAGUUGAGACAUGAUGCUUGGGUGAAAGCUGAGGUGUCAUGUCUCUUAGACAAGAGGGAAAAGCGUGAGGCUGGCUUCACAGAGCAACGAACACCUCUGGCUCCUGGCAGUGGAGGGAUCACGGGCUGCUGCAUUACAAUCCCACAAUACCUAGUGGGCCAAAGUAUUUGAACCAUCACUUUU
Molecule: non-coding RNA, 304 nt
Organism: Lupinus angustifolius (narrow-leaved blue lupine)
Lineage: Eukaryota; Viridiplantae; Streptophyta; Magnoliopsida; Fabales; Fabaceae
Rfam family: Plant signal recognition particle RNA
Source: Rfam